CUUCAACAGGGCGGAGCCAGAGGGAGCCGGUCUGCGGAAGGAAGGAGCCACCAGGGCCCAAGCCCAUUUGGUUCAUAGAUUCCAAGUGACAUGGUGGGGAGUUUCUCCUUGACAUUGUCCGGAAGCACGUGGCCAUCUUUCCAAGCAAGAUCCGUUUCAGUGUCCAGGGCUGCACAGGGGUAGUGAUGGGAAGGUCCCCGCCACACGCCAGUGAGAAGAAUCGAGAAGGAAACUUGGGAUGAGCAGUUAAAGCACCCGCUGGAAACCAUCUCCAAUGCACCAGAAUUGAGAAGCACCCGAUGGGAGGUGUCGGAUGAGGAGGGGGCCACCCUCAUGAAUGAAUUAAUGUGGAUUAUGAAGGGCUGUGGCCCCAACUCCAUCCCUUGUCCCCACUCUUGCCAUCUCCCAUCCUCCCACCUUCCACCUUCUUUCGAGAGAUGAUAUAGCAAAAGGCCUUCACCCAAUGCCAGCGCCUUGUACUCCCCAGUCUCCAGAGCUCAGAGAA
Molecule: non-coding RNA, 505 nt
Organism: Marmota flaviventris (yellow-bellied marmot)
Lineage: Eukaryota; Metazoa; Chordata; Mammalia; Rodentia; Sciuridae
Source: RefSeq, a predicted model, not a curated record